AGAAUGUUUUCAUUGAUCAGAACGAAAGUCAGAGGUUCGAAGGCGAUCAGAUACCGCCCUAGUUCUGACCAUAAACGAUGCCAACCAGCGAUCCGCCUGAGUUACUCAAAUGACUCGGCGGGCAGCUUCCGGGAAACCAAAGUAUUUGGGUUCCGGGGGAAGUAUGGUUGCAAAGCUGAAACUUAAAGGAAUUGACGGAAGGGCACCACCAGGAGUGGAGCCUGCGGCUUAAUUUGACUCAACACGGGAAAACUUACCCGGCCCGGACACUGGGAGGAUUGACAGAUUGAGAGCUCUUUCUUGAUUCGGUGAUGGUGGUGCAUGGCCGUUCUUAGUUGGUGGAGCGAUUUGUCUGGUUAAUUCCGAUAACGAACGAGACUCUAGCCUAUUAAAUAGGUGCGGGGUUCCCAGCACCUUACAACCUUCUUAGAGGGACAAGCGGCUCCUAGCCGCACGAAACAGAGCAAUAACAGGUCUGUGAUGCCCUUAGAUGUCCGGGGCCGCACGCGCGCUACACUGAAGGAAGCAGCGUGUCUUUAUCCCUGUCUGAAAAGACUGGGUAACCCGUGGAACUUCUUUCGUGAUUGGGAUAGGGGCUUGCAAUUGUUCCCCUUGAACGAGGAAUUCCCAGUAAGCGCGAGUCAUAAGCUCGCGUUGAUUACGUCCCUGCCCUUUGUACACACCGCCCGUCGCUACUACCGAUUGAAUGAUUUAGUGAGGUCUUCGGACCGAUGUCCGGCGCGGCCUUUCGGUUGCGCCGGUCUUUAACAAGUAAUAACCUGGUGAUCCCAUCACUAAUAAGACCGUUCACAGAGUCCG
RNAcentral lists this ribosomal RNA (819 nucleotides) under Rhipicephalus sanguineus (brown dog tick). Its description in RNAcentral is "SSU rRNA". It matches the Rfam family "Eukaryotic small subunit ribosomal RNA", at positions 961 to 1761 of the family's 1831-position model. The record is from RNAcentral. Lineage: Eukaryota; Metazoa; Arthropoda; Arachnida; Ixodida; Ixodidae.